UACUCGAGUGGCGAACGGGUGAGUAACACGUGGGUGAUCUGCCCUGCACUUCGGGAUAAGCUUGGGAAACUGGGUCUAAUACCGGAUAGGAGCCAUCUUUAGUGUGGUGGUUGGAAAGUUUUUUCGGUGUAGGAUGAGCUCGCGGCCUACCAGCUUGUUGGUGGGGUAAUGGCCUACCAAGGCGGCGACGGGUAGCCGGCCUGAGAGGGUGUACGGCCACAUUGGGACUGAGAUACGGCCCAG
RNAcentral lists this ribosomal RNA (243 nucleotides) under uncultured Actinomycetales bacterium. RNAcentral describes it as "partial 16S ribosomal RNA". It matches the Rfam family "Bacterial small subunit ribosomal RNA", at positions 88 to 334 of the family's 1533-position model. The record is from RNAcentral. Lineage: Bacteria; Bacillati; Actinomycetota; Actinomycetes; Actinomycetales.